This 454-nucleotide ribosomal RNA is filed under the name uncultured bacterium. RNAcentral's name for it is "partial 16S ribosomal RNA". It matches the Rfam family "Bacterial small subunit ribosomal RNA", at positions 356 to 802 of the family's 1533-position model. The record is from RNAcentral.
AGGGAAUCUUCCACAAUGGACGCAAGUCUGAUGGAGCAACGCCGCGUGAGUGAAGAAGGUUUUCGGACCGUAAAGCUCUGUUGUUGGUGAAGAAGGAUAGAGGUAGUAACUGGCCUUUAUUUGACGGUAAUCAACCAGAAAGUCACGGCUAACUACGUGCCAGCAGCCGCGGUAAUACGUAGGUGGCAAGCGUUGUCCGGAUUUAUUGGGCGUAAAGCGAGCGCAGGCGGAAGAAUAAGUCUGAUGUGAAAGCCCUCGGCUUAACCGAGGAAUUGCAUCGGAAACUGUUUUCUUGAGUGCAGAAGAGGAGAGUAGAACUCCAUGUGUAGCGGUGGAAUGCGUAGAUAUAUGGAAGAAUACCAGUGGCGAAGGCGGCUCUCUGGUCUGCAACUGACGCUGAGGCUCGAAAGCAUGGGUAGCGAACAGGAUUAGAUACCCUUGGUAGUCCAUGCCG